AACGAACGCUGGCGGCAGGCCUCAAACAUGCAAGUCUAGGGGGUGUAGCAAUACAUCACCGGCGGACGGGUGCGUAACGCGUGGGAAUAUACCUAUCGAUUCGGAACAACUGAGGGAAACUUCAGCUAAUACCGAAUACGUCCUAACGGAGAAAGAUUUAUCGUCGAUAGAUUAGCCCGCGUUCGAUUAGCUAGUUGGUGGGGUAACGGCCCACCAAGGCGACGAUCGAUAGCUGUUCUGAGAGGAAGAUCAGCCACACUGGGACUGAGACACGGCCCAGACUCCUACGGGAGGCAGCAGUUGGGAAUCUUGGACAAUGGGGGAAACCCUGAUCCAGCCAUGCCGCGUGAGUGAUGAAGGCCUUCGGGUUGGUAAAACUACUUUCGCGCACGACGAUAAUGACGGUAGUGCGAGAAGAAGCUCCGGCUAACUUCGUGCCAGCAGCC
Molecule: ribosomal RNA, 446 nt
Filed under: uncultured bacterium
Lineage: Bacteria
Description: bacterial SSU rRNA
Rfam family: Bacterial small subunit ribosomal RNA
Source: RNAcentral